Molecule: unclassified non-coding RNA, 410 nt
Filed under: Hevea brasiliensis (rubber tree)
Lineage: Eukaryota; Viridiplantae; Streptophyta; Magnoliopsida; Malpighiales; Euphorbiaceae
Source: RNAcentral
UACAGUGGAAGAAGGAGCUUUGUAAUUCAGUGCAGCUUAUUGGUAAUGUUGCAGUGCCGGUUCAAAUUAAGCAUCUUAAUUCCGGAAAAGUUGUAGCUUGGACUCGUCUUGCUGUAAGGAAGUCGCAAAACGACACUACUUGGAUUAAUUUGACAUUCUGGGAUGACUUGGCUAAUGUUGCCAAUCAACAUGUGGAGAAAGGACAGCAGAUAUAUGUGUCUGGUCGCCUAAUAUCAGAUACAGUUGAAGGUGAUGAUGGAAAAGAACAGACUUAUUAUAAGGUGGUCGUUCAGCAAUUGAAUUUUAUUGAGAAGAGCUCUCCUCCUAUUGCCUCAUAUAACGGGGACUCUAAUUCCAUGGCACCACGUAAAAAGCAAAAUAAUUUUGCUGCAAAUACCACUGGAUCCACG